Molecule: long non-coding RNA, 437 nt
Organism: Populus nigra (black poplar)
Lineage: Eukaryota; Viridiplantae; Streptophyta; Magnoliopsida; Malpighiales; Salicaceae
Exons: 2
Source: RefSeq, a predicted model, not a curated record
UUUAGCUCCAAGUAAAAACAGAAGAGUGAGAUCUAAUAGUGGCCAGUGGCCUGGUGGUCCAAAGUACGGUAAAGUUUCUCCCUGGUCUGGACCUCCAACCUCUGCUAUGGAGUUUGUGCACUAUGGAUGGAGAUGAAGGUGUUUCAAUGGGGGAUAACCCUUCACAUCACGAACAAAUGCAAGCAAAUAGUGUCCUCGAGUUGGAAAUUUGAAGCAAAGAUUCAAGGACCACUGCCUUGGUCACCUUUUUUUUCCCUUUACAGCAACGACAUGGUUACAUUCUCAAAAUGCUGUGGUGCAUGUCUAUGUCGUAUGCAUAUUUGCAUCAGCACCUCUUACGAUCUAUUCUAUUGUUUUAUGAUUUGCCAUACUAGUCUACUUGGAGGAGAUAUUUAGUUACUAUUUCAUAAUAAAAAAAUUGAAGAUAAUAGAGACAA